GAUGAAGAACGCAGCGAAAUGCGAUAAGUAGUGUGAAUUGCAGAAUUCCGUGAAUCAUCGAAUCUUUGAACGCACAUUGCGCCCUUUUGUAUUCCGAAGGGCAUGCCUGUUCGAGCGUCAUUAUCACCCCUCAAGCCCCUUGGCUUGGUGUUGGACGGUUGGCGACGACCCCUGGGUCGUCGCCCCUCCCAAAGACAAUGACGGCGGCCUCGUUGGACCCCCGGUACACUGAGUUCUUCACGGGACACGUACUGGAUCAAGGGUGCGCGGAGCACGGUCUUAACCAUUUCACCCCUCGUGGGCGGAAUAAUUUUUCUAGGUUGACCUCGGAUCAGGUAGGGAUACCCGCUGAACUUAAGCAUAUCAAUAAGCGGAGGA
RNAcentral lists this unclassified non-coding RNA (378 nucleotides) under soil metagenome. RNAcentral describes it as "partial contains 5.8S ribosomal RNA, internal transcribed spacer 2, and large subunit ribosomal RNA". The stretch from base 1 to 120 matches the Rfam family "5.8S ribosomal RNA", at positions 35 to 154 of the family's 154-position model. The record is from RNAcentral.